RNAcentral lists this ribosomal RNA (1422 nucleotides) under Micrococcus sp. 154a. RNAcentral's name for it is "bacterial SSU rRNA". It matches the Rfam family "Bacterial small subunit ribosomal RNA". The record is from RNAcentral. Lineage: Bacteria; Bacillati; Actinomycetota; Actinomycetes; Micrococcales; Micrococcaceae.
ACACAUGCAAGUCGAACGAUGAAGCCCAGCUUGCUGGGUGGAUUAUGGCGAACGGGUGAGUAACACGUGAGUAACCUGCCCUUGACUCUGGGAUAAGCCUGGGAAACUGGGUCUAAUACCGGAUAGGAACGUCCACCGCAUGGUGGUUGUUGGAAAGAUUUAUCGGUCAUGGAUGGACUCGCGGCCUAUCAGCUUGUUGGUGAGGUAAUGGCUCACCAAGGCGACGACGGGUAGCCGGCCUGAGAGGGUGACCGGCCACACUGGGAUCUGAGACACGGCCCAGACUCCUACGGGAGGCAGCAGUGGGGAAUAUUGCACAAUGGGCGAAAGCCUGAUGCAGCGACGCCGCGUGAGGGAUGACGGCCUUCGGGUUGUAAACCUCUUUCAGUAGGGAAGAAGCGAAAGUGACGGUACCUGCAGAAGAAGCACCGGCUAACUACGUGCCAGCAGCCGCGGUAAUACGUAGGGUGCGAGCGUUAUCCGGAAUUAUUGGGCGUAAAGAGCUCGUAGGCGGUUUGUCGCGUCUGUCGUGAAAGUCCGGGGCUUAACCCCGGAUCUGCGGUGGGUACGGGCAGACUAGAGUGCAGUAGGGGAGACUGGAAUUCCUGGUGUAGCGGUGGAAUGCGCAGAUAUCAGGAGGAACACCGAUGGCGAAGGCAGGUCUCUGGGCUGUAACUGACGCUGAGGAGCGAAAGCAUGGGGAGCGAACAGGAUUAGAUACCCUGGUAGUCCAUGCCGUAAACGUUGGGCACUAGGUGUGGGGACCAUUCCACGGUUUCCGCGCCGCAGCUAACGCAUUAAGUGCCCCGCCUGGGGAGUACGGCCGCAAGGCUAAAACUCAAAGGAAUUGACGGGGGCCCGCACAAGCGGCGGAGCAUGCGGAUUAAUUCGAUGCAACGCGAAGAACCUUACCAAGGCUUGACAUGUUCUCGAUCGCCGUAGAGAUACGGUUUCCCCUUUGGGGCGGGAUCACAGGUGGUGCAUGGUUGUCGUCAGCUCGUGUCGUGAGAUGUUGGGUUAAGUCCCGCAACGAGCGCAACCCUCGUUCCAUGUUGCCAGCACGUAAUGGUGGGGACUCAUGGGAGACUGCCGGGGUCAACUCGGAGGAAGGUGGGGACGACGUCAAAUCAUCAUGCCCCUUAUGUCUUGGGCUUCACGCAUGCUACAAUGGCCGGUACAAUGGGUUGCGAUACUGUGAGGUGGAGCUAAUCCCAAAAAGCCGGUCUCAGUUCGGAUUGGGGUCUGCAACUCGACCCCAUGAAGUCGGAGUCGCUAGUAAUCGCAGAUCAGCAACGCUGCGGUGAAUACGUUCCCGGGCCUUGUACACACCGCCCGUCAAGUCACCGAAAGUCGGUAACACCCCGAAGCCGGUGGCCUAACCCUUGUGGGGGGCAGCCGUCGAUAGGUGGAACCAGCAAUUUU